UGCAUCUGGGGCCAGUGAGGAUGAGAACCUCCGGGGGCAGGAGGUUCGACUCGAGCGAAGCGAGAGAACGUUGCGUCAGCAACGGCCCGCAGGGCG
This 96-nucleotide small RNA is filed under the name Klebsiella pneumoniae. Its description in RNAcentral is "partial RtT sRNA". It matches the Rfam family "RtT RNA", at positions 1 to 93 of the family's 130-position model. From Rfam's summary of the family: This family represents a bacterial cis-regulatory element known as RtT RNA. The exact function of RtT is unknown although it is thought that it may be involved in changing the cellular response in relation to amino acid starvation. Lineage: Bacteria; Pseudomonadati; Pseudomonadota; Gammaproteobacteria; Enterobacterales; Enterobacteriaceae. The record is from RNAcentral.